GCCUAAUACAUGCAAGUCGAGCGGACAGAUGGGAGCUUGCUCCCUGAUGUUAGCGGCGGACGGGUGAGUAACACGUGGGUAACCUGCCUGUAAGACUGGGAUAACUCCGGGAAACCGGGGCUAAUACCGGAUGGUUGUUUGAACCGCAUGGUUCAAACAUAAAAGGUGGCUUCGGCUACCACUUACAGAUGGACCCGCGGCGCAUUAGCUAGUUGGUGAGGUAACGGCUCACCAAGGCAACGAUGCGUAGCCGACCUGAGAGGGUGAUCGGCCACACUGGGACUGAGACACGGCCCAGACUCCUACGGGAGGCAGCAGUAGGGAAUCUUCCGCAAUGGACGAAAGUCUGACGGAGCAACGCCGCGUGAGUGAUGAAGGUUUUCGGAUCGUAAAGCUCUGUUGUUAGGGAAGAACAAGUACCGUUCGAAUAGGGCGGUACCUUGACGGUACCUAACCAGAAAGCCACGGCUAACUACGUGCCAGCAGCCGCGGUAAUACGUAGGUGGCAAGCGUUGUCCGGAAUUAUUGGGCGUAAAGGGCUCGCAGGCGGUUUCUUAAGUCUGAUGUGAAAGCCCCCGGCUCAACCGGGGAGGGUCAUUGGAAACUGGGGAACUUGAGUGCAGAAGAGGAGAGUGGAAUUCCACGUGUAGCGGUGAAAUGCGUAGAGAUGUGGAGGAACACCAGUGGCGAAGGCGACUCUCUGGUCUGUAACUGACGCUGAGGAGCGAAA
RNAcentral lists this ribosomal RNA (730 nucleotides) under Bacillus subtilis. RNAcentral's name for it is "bacterial SSU rRNA". It matches the Rfam family "Bacterial small subunit ribosomal RNA", at positions 46 to 758 of the family's 1533-position model. Lineage: Bacteria; Bacillati; Bacillota; Bacilli; Caryophanales; Bacillaceae. The record is from RNAcentral.